RNAcentral lists this long non-coding RNA (1225 nucleotides) under Brassica rapa (field mustard). RNAcentral describes it as "long non-coding RNA (BRAP_LNC001860)". Lineage: Eukaryota; Viridiplantae; Streptophyta; Magnoliopsida; Brassicales; Brassicaceae. The record is from RNAcentral.
CAAGAUCCAAAAUAAAUACAUGUGUAACGGUCUAAAGAUAUAUAUCAUAUUGCAUUGGAUGAAGAAAAUAAGAAGAUUAUAUACUAGUCUAUUAAAUAAGUUUUAUCUAACACUAAAUCAGUUUAAAUUUUUUGGUAUAAUCAGUAUUCCAUUUUUUUUUCAUUUUCAAAAGAUCAUUGAUCUUGUUUAUAAUUUUUUUUCUUUUGUAACAGAUCUAGUUUAUAAUUUUCGCGUGAUGGAAUUGCCUCCAAUUGUCGCAAAAAAAAAAAGAAAAAUACAUAAGAACCACGUGUGUAGUAGUCAGGCAACUUGUUCUACUCAACUCCGAAAGUCUGCGUGGACUUCACACUUAGAAAAUGGAGUGCAAUUAUAGAGGAGGUAAUGGUUGUUUACCACUCUCUAAACUAAAAAGCUUUGUAAGAUAGUUUACUGCUACUUACAAAAUGGUGAUCGUCAUUCCAGCGAAAAAAAUGAGAACAAGAUACGAUCUCAUGCGUUAUGCUUUGUGUUGUAAUCAUGGGCACUUUGGGCUUGUGGGAUGGAAAAAAGUCCAAUUAAAAUCGAAUCCAAAAUAUUCUAAAGGGGUCAUAUACAAUGAUCAUUAGCAACUACGAAAUUAUAAUAAAAUAAAUCAUGGAGUGUAUUAACACUAAUAUAUAGACAAUGUGUAUUUAAUUAAAAAUAACAAGGUUAUAACCUUGGGGUUUUAACACUCGUCAAUAUACUUCUUCGGUUCUUUGAAAACUAGAUGAUUACGGCCAUGAUUGUUUUGAUAGUUUUUGGUUUUAAUUUUUAUUAUUGGUUUUUAAAUUUUGGUUUUUAGAUUUUUAUUUUUUAGUUUAAUUUUUAGAUUUUGUUUUUGACUUUCAAAUUUUAUAUUUUUUUUAAUUUUGGUUUUUAGUUUUUCUAUGUUUUACUAGUUUUGCAAAAACCUAAAUCAGAUUUUUAAAUAAUAUAACAAAAUACUAAUAAUUAUUCAAAUAUGUAAAUUUUUAUAUUUUACAACUAAAAUGUUUCAAAGUUUUCAUAUUUUUGACAAAAACCAUACUUUACUAAAAGGAUAAAUCAUAAAUUUAUUUAUGAAUAAUACAAAAUAUUUAUAAAAUAGGAAUAUAUUUACUUUAGACAUACACAUUUAAUCAAUGUUGAUGAUAUUAAUAUUAACAAAAAGAUAUAUAACAAAAUAUACAUAUAAGAAGCUACGUGCUUAAAAACUAAAAAAAAC